GUCUCGUCCCAUCAACGUAAACGCACUUUCGUCUCGUCACAUUUUAGUCAUCUCCGACUUAUGUUUAGCUCGUCAACGUUACGUCUUCGUCGUGGGAGAAAAGGGAAAUAUUUUAGUCAACGAAAACAACCAGUGUUGUUCUCGUGUGGAAAUUAAAGUUUAUCACUUUUGACAUGGUGUACUCGCAUUAUUAUGCCAUAUAAUAUCAUUAUCUAUAAUUUAAAAAAUGGUGUCAAUAAUAUCGUUUAUCGGCGAUAAUUUGUAGCACAAUUAUCGUCCAGCAAAAUUUGUUAUCGUGACAGGCCUAAAUACAGGUAACCA
Xyrichtys novacula (pearly razorfish) is the source of this 321-nucleotide non-coding RNA. The record is from the annotation of a GenBank genome assembly. Lineage: Eukaryota; Metazoa; Chordata; Actinopteri; Labriformes; Labridae.